RNAcentral lists this long non-coding RNA (457 nucleotides) under Macaca nemestrina (pig-tailed macaque). RNAcentral's name for it is "lncRNA (ENSMNEG00000046005.1)". The record is from RNAcentral. Lineage: Eukaryota; Metazoa; Chordata; Mammalia; Primates; Cercopithecidae.
GGGAGAGCUCUUUGAUAUUCAUGUGCUGUGACCCCUGCUCUCCACAGAACCCACUGACAGCCAUUCCCAGCAGGGCUCAGGUCUGUUUGGAGGCUGCACACUUUUGUUCUGUAAACAGCAGCAAGCCUUCCAGGAAGCCAAGCUGAGACAGGAAGAGGAAGCCGACAGGUUGCGGCGAGUUGAUCCAGCCCUCUUCUCAUUCGUCCUCCUCUCCUUGCUCUUUUCUCUGUCACCAGUGCAUCUGAAGACAGUGCAGCGAACUGCUGAGCCAGACAUCUUUAAAACAUGCCCUUUAUGAACACACAUUGAUUGAGUCAAGAACCCACUGAAGACAAUCACCAGAGCUGAGACAAUGAACUAAGAAAAAGAUGCAUGUGGCUGUAAUUAGAAGAAAAACAAUUUGCCUGAGCAUUUUAAAAAACCUUUUCAAUAAAUAAGUAUUGAAUGUUAACAUGAG